CCACAGUGCCCGGCCUACUCUUAAAGGACCACGUCUUAUCCUUUGUCUCCUGAAAGCAUAGCCCAGAACACAGGAGACUCUCCACCAGUAUUUGUGUACUGAAUAAAGGAAUGAAGGAAACCUUCAGGCCUUCCCUCCUCAGAAGAAUCCUAAAAGGAACUUGAUUCAGGGAAAGACUUCAACUCAAAGGGGCUGGUAGGCCAUUUUAAAUGGAACAGAUGGAAGGCCAGCUUCAAAGGUACUGCCUACCUGAACCUGCCUUGUCCCAAAAGGACACACUUCAGUCUGGGGAGAGUUUAAAGUUGUAGACAUAUCCAUUUUCAUUUAAGGAAUAUGAAGAUCAGGGAGGCAAAAUAUCGAGAGGAAAAAUUGAGAGAUGAUCAGAAAUUCAGACGCAUUCUGGAAUGAGCACCCUUGACCAUACCAAGAACAAAGAUUCUAUAAAAAUGUGAAGUCUUAUUAUUAUUCAUCCAUGUUCUACGUGGGAUCCACCCAAGACAUUGAAAACUGUACAGAACAGGGUGAAAUUGAAUCAGAUCAUUCUGUACUCCUAACAAGGUCCACCCCAUGAGAACUUGCAGCAGAAUUAAUGACACUGUAUAUUUUCCUCUACUAACAACAACAACAACAACAACAACAACAAUCUAGGAAAAUCAAAGGCAGCCCGACAUGGAAAAUAACACAAAAUGAAUAUUUGGAUUACAAAUAGUGUAAUGGGAAGAACACACUGCCAAAAGUCCACCUAGUAUGUUGAAAUUACUGUUUCUAGCACAUAUAAGGUAUGAUUUUUUAAUGUUUUAAACAUUCAUUAUUGGCUACUUUAACUAUUUUCCUUGGUAACUGCAGCAGAAAUUGAAAAAUGAUAGAAAAGCAGAAAAGAAUGGCAUAACUUAUCAGAUAUAUGUAAGUGUGUAAACUUUGGGUUUUAUUGUUUAGCUCAUCUAGUAACUUGGGAAAAUAAUAGCUAUUCCACAAGAUUGUUGAGAAAAUUAAAUGAGAGAACACAGUUAACAGACUUAGCUGAAUGUGUAGCAUAUAGAGGGCACUCAGGCAUCCCUGGCAUACAGGUAUGAGUCUGCAAUUAACAAGGUAAUGGAAAGAGUGUUGCAGAUCUCUGACUGAAGUAUUUUCUCCUGGGCUUACAGUAUUUAUCAGCUAUCAUAAUACAAGUAAGUGGCAAGAUAAGCUUACUUAAGGUGAUUUUCUUGUUUGAUGUAUUUUUAUGUGAUUGCAUAUUU
This 1238-nucleotide long non-coding RNA is filed under the name Pan troglodytes (chimpanzee). Its description in RNAcentral is "long non-coding RNA NONPTRT010819". The record is from RNAcentral. Lineage: Eukaryota; Metazoa; Chordata; Mammalia; Primates; Hominidae.